RNAcentral lists this ribosomal RNA (258 nucleotides) under uncultured bacterium. RNAcentral's name for it is "partial 16S ribosomal RNA". It matches the Rfam family "Bacterial small subunit ribosomal RNA", at positions 96 to 354 of the family's 1533-position model. The record is from RNAcentral.
CGGCGGACGGGUGAGUAACACGUGGGUAAUCUGCCUUAUACAGGGGGAUAACAGUUAGAAAUGACUGCUAAUACCGCAUAAGCGCACGGGGACGCAUGUUUCUGUGUGAAAAACUCCGGUAGUAUAAGAUGAGCCCGCGUCUGAUUAGCUUGUUGGUGGGGUAACGGCCUACCAAGGCGACGAUCAGUAGCCGGCCUGAGAGGGUGAACGGCCACAUUGGGACUGAGACACGGCCCAAACUCCUACGGGAGGCAGCAG